Molecule: long non-coding RNA, 1703 nt
Filed under: Homo sapiens (human)
Lineage: Eukaryota; Metazoa; Chordata; Mammalia; Primates; Hominidae
Description: HSALNT0370422
Source: RNAcentral
CUCUUCCCAGAGAGCCAGGGAUCCCAAGGUGCAAAGUUUGGAGCCAGGGGCAGGCUGAGCCUCUGUUCUCCUAGUUCCAGCCUCGGCUCUUUAAUGAAAAUUGUCAGUCAAGUAAGACUCCGUCAUCACCUUCCAGCAAAGAAUGAGUGGGGAGAUCUGAGAAUCGAUACUGAACAGCUUCAGUACUACGAUGUCAUAAUGGGGCUGUGAGCUCAGCCGAAAGCCCCCCGCCCAGUUUUUUUUGGAAGUGGUCAUAGAAUCUCUCUGGAGAAACAACAUGGAAAUGGAGACCAAAAGAGGGAAGGAGGGAUGCCACCAGAUGACACUGGGAUCCCGGAAGACGGAACACUGUGUGCAACGGGCAAAGAACUUUUCAAAAGGGAUUUCAACCUCUGACCACCUGGAGACAGGCGACUGGCGCUCAUUGUAAAUGCACCGACAUGACAGGGAACAGCUGCUGGGGAGGUGGAGACGGGUGCCGGGAGAGACAGGAAACCCCAGAGGCUUGGAAAUCCAGGAGCCACAGGAAGCAGUGAGCUUUCUGCGGAGCCGGAUCCGGUGGAGCCAAUUCACCAGCAGGUCCCGGCAGCAACUCUUCUACAACAGAUUCCUGCCCGUCCCUGUGCCCCAUCGCCCCCCUGCCGUCAAUCUCCACCUCAAGGGAGCCAGACCAAGCCUUUCUGUGUGUAGCGCACAUCUCUCCUGCGUAGAGCUCACCUAGUGGCUUCCAUAGCUUUUUUUUUUUUUUUUUUGGAGACAGGGUCUUGCCCUGUCACCCAGGCUGGGGUACGGUGGCAUGAUCAUGGCUCACUGCAGCUCCCUCCUGGGCUCAAGUGAUCCUCCUGCCUCAACCUCUCAAGUAGCUGGGACUACAGUUGUGCACCACCCCACCCAGCUAAUUAUUAUUUUUUGUAGAUGUGGGAUCUUGCUAUGUUGCCCAGGCUGGUCUUGAACUCCUGGCCUCAAGCAACCUUCUCACUUCAGCCUCCCUAAGUGCUGGAAUUAUAGGUAUGAGCCAUCCCGCCAGUCUUCCGUGGCUUUUCUAACAAUAUCCUUGAAGGACCUCUGUGAAUCCCUUUCCCAAUGUCUAUCUGCACUGUCCCUGUCCCAGGCUGAUCCUGCUCAGACACGCUGGCUUGCUUUCUGGUCCUCUCACAAGCCAACCCUGUCCCCACCCCAGGGCCUUUGCACUUAUGGUUUUGCCUCUACCUAAAUACCCUAUACCAGUGCUGUCUGAUAGAAAUAUGUAAUAAUGGGGGCCGGGCGUGGUGGCUCACACCUGUAAUCCCAGCACUUUUGGGAGGCCGAGAUGGGCAGAUCACGAGGACAGGAGAUCGAGACCAUCCUGGCUAACACGGUGAAACCCCCUCUCUACUAAAAAUACAAAAAAUUAGCCAGGCGUGGUGGCGUGUGCCUGUAGUCCCAGCUACUCAGGAGGCUGAGGCAGGAGAAUGGCGUGAACCCGGGAGGCGGAGCUUACAGUGAGCUGAGAUCACACGCCACUGCACUCCAGCCUGGGUGACAGAACGAGACUCCGUCUCAAAAAAAAAAAAAAUGUAAUAAUGGGAGCCUCAUAUGUAAUUGUACAUUUUCUAGCAGUAAGAGGAAAUUAAAUUUAAUAAUAUAUUUUACUUCACCCAAUAGAUCCAAAAUAGUAUCACUUCAAUGUGUAAUCAGUAUUUAAAAAUUCCUGAGGUAUUUUA